CCUACGGGUGGCUGCAGUGAGGAAUCUUGCGCAAUGGGGGAAACCCUGACGCAGCAACGCCGCGUGAGUGAAGAAGGCCUUCGGGUUGUAAAGCUCUGUCAGGUGGGAAGAAAUACUUGGUGCUAAUAUCACCGAGGGUUGACGGUACCACCAGAGGAAGCACCGGCUAACUCCGUGCCAGCAGCCGCGGUAAGACGGAGGGUGCAAGCGUUGUUCGGAAUUAGUGGGGGUAGGGAGCGUGUAGGCGUUUGAAAGCCCUUGGCUCAACCAAGGAAGUGCAUCUGAAACUGGUUGACUUGAGUACGGGAGAGGAGAGUGGAAUUCCUGGAGUAGAGGUGAAAUUCGUAGAUCUCAGGAGGAACACCGGUGGCGAAGGCGACUCUCUGGACCGAUACUGACGCUGAGACGCGAAAGCGUGGGGAGCAAACAGGAUUAGAUACCCGAGUAGUC
This 450-nucleotide ribosomal RNA is filed under the name uncultured bacterium. RNAcentral describes it as "partial 16S ribosomal RNA". It matches the Rfam family "Bacterial small subunit ribosomal RNA", at positions 338 to 795 of the family's 1533-position model. The record is from RNAcentral.